UUUGCGCUAGAGUUAGCUCUAAGGGCCAACCCCCAAACCUCCGGCUGCCACCUCGCGCUCCCCUUCCAGAGCGAGAGAGAGAGAGAGCUAGGGUUCCGCUCUCCCAUCCCCAUCCCCAUCCCCAUCCCCGCAGCCGUCGCCUCCUCUCCUCUCCCCGCGGCCCCCGAACGCCGGCCACCGGCGAGAUCCGACCGACCGACGGCUGCUUAAGCUUGAGACAUGUCGCAUUCCAACCAAGUGAGGUACACCGCGCGCUCCAUCACGCCCCCGGCCGACAGGGACAGCGGCUCCAAGUCGCCCCCGCCCAGGAGGCGCGCCGCUUCCAAGUCCCCUCCCCUGCCACCUCCUCCCCCUUUUCCUCCCAAGGGGGUGCGCACCAUCUCCAGCUCCCCUCCGCCAACAAGACGCACCGUCUCAAGGUCCCCUCCACCAAAGAGGCGCGCCAGGUCAAGGUCAAGGUCCAGAUCCAGGUCCAGGAACAGGAACAGGAGCAGGAGCCGCUCCAGGAGCAGAGAUAAAGACCAAGUCAGGAAUCCUGGGAACAACCUCUAUGUCACUGGACUGUCCAUACGGACACAAGAAACUGACCUGGAGAAGUUCUUCAGUAAAGAGGGCAAGGUUAAAGACUGCCGUGUCGUUACGGACCCUCGUACCAAGGAAUCACGUGGCUUUGCGUUUGUCACCAUGGAGAAUGUUGAGGAUGCAAGGCGCUGCAUCAAGUACUUGCACCACACUGUACUUGAAGGCCGCCUCAUCAGUGUGGCAAAGAAUUAUUGAACUAAAUGCUGGCUGCACCCACCUGUUGGUUUGUACAACCUCUUCUUCAACCUUACAAUCUGUUGCCUCUCGAAUCUCCAUCACCCUCACGAACAUCGCCAUCACGCUUGUGAUCAUCGCCAUCACCCUCGCGAUCAUCGCCUACUGCGCUGUCUGCACCGACUUCGAGUGAUUUGACGGCUCGGAAUGCUGCACUGCUACGCGUCACCACCGGCUGACCGAGCACCUCAAGUCAUGCUGGUGAUCUUGGGAGUGAGAGCACGGCUCUCAAACGCUGCACUGCUACGCGUCGCCACCGACUGACCGAGCACCUCAAGUCAUGCUGGUGAUCUUGGAGCGAGAGCACGGCUCUCAAGGCUGCACUGCUACGCGUCACCACCGACUGACCGGGCGCCUUGAGCCAUUCUGGUGAUCCUGGAGAGAGAGCGCGGCUCUCAAGGCUGCACUGCUACGCAUCACCACCGACCGACCGCGCACCUCAAGCCAUUCUGGUGAUCCUGGAGUGAGAGCAUGGCUCUCAACGCUGCACCGCUAAGCGUCACCACCGUAGACCUCCUCGUGUUGCGUGUAGCUACUGUGGUACGUGGUACUACAUUCUUGGAGCUACUGUGGCAAGGAGAACUCGUGAGAGGACCCCAACUCCUGGAGAAUACUGUGGUCCAAGAGGUGGGCGCUCCCGAGUGGAACCGCGGAGCCGUUCUCCAUCUCGUCGGUCUAGCAGGUCGUCGAGGGACCGCUCGAGGUCCCCGGCCGGAAGGAGGGACAGAGA
This is an RNA transcript of Hordeum vulgare subsp. vulgare (domesticated barley), 1546 nucleotides long. It is a transcript of the gene named serine/arginine-rich splicing factor SR45a-like, with no coding region annotated. The transcript has 8 exons. The record is from RefSeq and is a predicted model, not a curated record. Lineage: Eukaryota; Viridiplantae; Streptophyta; Magnoliopsida; Poales; Poaceae.